GAUGAACGCUAGCGGCAGGCCUAACACAUGCAAGUCGAGGGAGAAGCCCUUUCGGGGGCAGUCACAGGCGCACGGGUGCGUGACGCGUAUGCAACCUACCUGUCACAGGGGGAUAGCCGGAAGAUAUUUGGAUUAAUACUCCAUAAAAUUAUUAGAUGGCAUCAUUGGAUAAUCAAAACUGCGGUGGUGCAAGAUGGGCAUGCGUUCCAUUAGCUGGUUGGAGUGGUUACGGCACCCCAAGGCUACGAUAGGUAGGGGUCCUGAGAGGGAGAUACCCCACACUGGAGAUGAGACAGGGACCAGAAUCCGACGGGAGGGAGCAGUGUGGAAUAUUAGGCAAUGGUGGGAAGUCUGAACCAGCCGUGCAGCGUGCGGGAAGAUUGGCGUAGGGGAUGUAAACUGCUGUUAUAGUGGAAGAACAAGGCAUACGUGUACGUUGAUGACGGUACCAAAUGAAUAAGCACCGGCUAACUCCGUG
This 478-nucleotide ribosomal RNA is filed under the name uncultured bacterium. Its description in RNAcentral is "partial 16S ribosomal RNA". It matches the Rfam family "Bacterial small subunit ribosomal RNA", at positions 28 to 507 of the family's 1533-position model. The record is from RNAcentral.